UAGCAAGAAUGAAAGGAAUCAAUUUAUCAUUGAAUGCUUUAUAAAACCCGCUUAUUAAACCAUCAUUUCCAGGGGACCUCUUGUCCUUAAGGCUUUUAAUACAGUCUUUUAUCUCAAUUCAGAUAACUCAUCAUCACAAAAAUCCCUGAAAUCUUUAUCUAUCUUCUUAGCAAUGUUUGCAACACGUCAUGCUCUAUCAACUGAGCUACGAAGGAGCACGUCGACGUCACUAGAAUGAUGACAAGCAAUUUUAACGGACUCUAAAGAGAAUCAUGGAAUUCCAAACUAAUUUCUAUGGCAACACAGUUGUCAAUUUUGUAAACAAUCAUUUUCAAACGUGUGUUGCCAAGAGACAUCUAACCGACGUUAUAUGGAACGUUUUCUGUGCGGAAAUAACAACUUCAGUUUGCUGCUGACAACAAACUGUUUGAUUUUUGAGACCUGAGAACAAUCGACUGGAAAAUGCCUGGGUGCUUUUCAAGACUGGCGGAGAGAGUGCGUGGACGUCGGCGGCCUACUGCAUCAACAGGUUGUUCAAAUUCAUUUGUGGCUUGUUUUUCUUGUCUUUUUCUGUUUUGCAGGGUUCGUGAUCGUCGACAGGUGGACAGCGACAGCGACUUCGAAGAGGAAACAACUGUCCUGGAUGAGGUCCAGUUGGAUGUGCCAUUGGAUGAUGUGCCAGAUGUUCCACAGCUGCCAGUCCUCCUUGAUAUCCAGAAUGCUGCUAUCAUCCUUGAGGAUGUGCCGGAUGUGCAGACUAUCCUUGAGGUACAAUUUUCUGAAAGUUUGGGGUUUUAUGUUUGAAAAAUAUCCCUGAUAUUCAAGUUGUGUCUCUUUGACAUGAAACAAAUCUCUUGUGUGCUUUCUACUUUAGGAGACCACUGGCAAUUGGCAGUUGAUUCCGAUUAGGUUCAGCCCCCUGUACUGUGGGAUAACAUGUUUGGCCAGCAGCUGGCCUGGUACUUUAACCCAGAGUCUCUGGUCACUGAGCUCUCCAGCCUCAUGGAGUACCACUUGGAGAACCUCAUGGCCAGCAUGUAGUCCUACUGCAGGGACCAUACUCCUUUCUCCUUCUCUCUCUCUUUUGAAGGAAUUGAGGACUUGAAGUGCUUUGUUGAACCCUGAAUAGUUAACACCCAGUAAUUGAACGUAUUCUCUUGUUUUCUCUCCCCACAGGAUUCUUGUGAUACUUUGCCACCCAACAGGGAUCUAGAGACCAAUGCACUACAUUACAUGUCAAUUGAAAAUGUGGUUGUUUUGUUGUCCUGUUGUGCGCCUUGAGUGUCAGUCCCCUUAAGCACAUUAUUCCAAUAUUUCCGAGCUCUGAAUUGACACAAUGAACACUUUUGAAAAGAUAUUCGGUUAAAAAUAAGAGUAUGGAUGACAAUAAACGUAUGACUUGGAUUGUAUGAAUAAUAGUGUAGUAAACAGUAUCGCUCAGCAUGGGAACUUUUGGUGUUAGGAAAGUGUCCGUUAUAAGUCUCCAUGGCACGUAUCACUUCGUUGUCUUGUUGGUAAUAGUAAAAAUGCAUGACAGUCCGCAUUGUAAUGGUCUAACAGGUGUUUUUCAUUUUGCUUCUCACAUUAACCAGAAAUUUGAGAACAGAAUUUCUUACAGUUGUACCUAUGAUGCACAGACACACUAAAGCUGUACAGUGUCGUUUGAAUAAUCAGUUUCAAUUAUUUGCAGAUGUAUUCCCUAUUAUUUACAAAUGGAAAGAUGUAACAUUUGAAAUGAAUGUGGCAGAACAGUUUAGCAUAGAGUUCCUGUGGGUGUCUUCUCCUUCAGUCUGUUUGCCUCCUAGGCCUCGUUUCUCAUUACAUGGAAUUUCCCCAGUGCCAACUUCACACGAGAUGGCCGCUGUCUACUGUCAUGUGGUGCUGAAUGACAGAUAUCGCUAUGCCGACAUCGCUGCUGUCCAUGGUCCUGAAAUAUACAAUCUCGGCUAUUUGCAUAUGUACGACCGUCCAAACUUGACCCCACACACAUACACAAACAUUAAUGCUAAUCUCUCACACUCUUUUGAACAUUGCACAACCUGCAACAAAACACUGAAAGAGCAUUUUAUUCCAAGUGUGUUUGUGUUUGAAUAAAGACCCAAAGAAUGAAA
Molecule: long non-coding RNA, 2111 nt
Organism: Oncorhynchus nerka (sockeye salmon)
Lineage: Eukaryota; Metazoa; Chordata; Actinopteri; Salmoniformes; Salmonidae
Exons: 2
Source: RefSeq, a predicted model, not a curated record